This 253-nucleotide ribosomal RNA is filed under the name uncultured bacterium. RNAcentral describes it as "partial 16S ribosomal RNA". It matches the Rfam family "Bacterial small subunit ribosomal RNA", at positions 524 to 776 of the family's 1533-position model. The record is from RNAcentral.
UACGUAGGGGGCAAGCGUUGUCCGGAAUCAUUGGGCGUAAAGAGCGUGUAGGCGGCCCGAUAAGUCCGCCGUGAAAGUCCAGGGCUCAACCCUGGAAUGCCGGUGGAAACUGUCGGGCUGGAGUCCGGAAGAGGCGAGUGGAAUUCCAGGUGUAGCGGUGAAAUGCGUAGAUAUCUGGAGGAAUACCGGUGGCGAAGGCGGCAUCCUGGACCGACAUUGACGCUGAGGAGCGAAAGCUAGGGGAGCAAACGGG